AUGGCGACCGGCGCACGGGUGAGUAACGCGUAUGCAACUUACCUAUCAGAGGGGGAUAGCCCGGCGAAAGUCGGAUUAAUACCCCAUAAACAGGGGUCCCGCAUGGGAAUAUUUGUUAAAGAUUCAUCGCUGAUAGAUAGGCAUGCGUUCCAUUAGGCAGUUGGCGGGGUAACGGCCCACCAAACCGACGAUGGAUAGGGGUUCUGAGAGGAAGGUCCCCCACAUUGGAACUGAGACACGGUCCAA
RNAcentral lists this ribosomal RNA (246 nucleotides) under uncultured bacterium. RNAcentral's name for it is "partial 16S ribosomal RNA". It matches the Rfam family "Bacterial small subunit ribosomal RNA", at positions 88 to 334 of the family's 1533-position model. The record is from RNAcentral.